AAAUUGAAGAGUUUGAUCAUGGCUCAGAUUGAACGCUGGCGGCAGGCCUAACACAUGCAAGUCGAACGGUAACAGGAAGCAGCUUGCUGCUUYGCUGACGAGUGGCGGACGGGUGAGUAAUGUCUGGGAAACUGCCUGAUGGAGGGGGAUAACUACUGGAAACGGUGGCUAAUACCGCAUAACGUCGCAAGACCAAAGAGGGGGACCUUCGGGCCUCUUGCCAUCAGAUGUGCCCAGAUGGGAUUAGCUUGUUGGUGAGGUAACGGCUCACCAAGGCGACGAUCCCUAGCUGGUCUGAGAG
Molecule: ribosomal RNA, 301 nt
Filed under: Salmonella enterica subsp. enterica serovar Infantis
Lineage: Bacteria; Pseudomonadati; Pseudomonadota; Gammaproteobacteria; Enterobacterales; Enterobacteriaceae
Description: partial 16S ribosomal RNA
Source: RNAcentral